RNAcentral lists this non-coding RNA (30 nucleotides) under Mus musculus (house mouse). Lineage: Eukaryota; Metazoa; Chordata; Mammalia; Rodentia; Muridae. The record is from RNAcentral.
UAAUUGGUACUAAGUCUCUUGGAAUCAAAC